RNAcentral lists this ribosomal RNA (253 nucleotides) under uncultured bacterium. RNAcentral describes it as "partial 16S ribosomal RNA". It matches the Rfam family "Bacterial small subunit ribosomal RNA", at positions 524 to 776 of the family's 1533-position model. The record is from RNAcentral.
UACAGAGGGUGCAAGCGUUAAUCGGAAUUACUGGGCGUAAAGCGUGCGUAGUCGGCCAUUUAAGUCGGGUGUGAAAUCCCCGGGCUCAACCUGGGAACUGCGUCCGAUACUGGAAGGCUUGAAUCCGGGAGAGGGAUGCGGAAUUCCAGGUGUAGCGGUGAAAUGCGUAGAUAUCUGGAGGAACACCGGUGGCGAAGGCGGCAUCCUGGACCGGCAUUGACGCUGAGGCGCGAAAGCUAGGGGAGCAAACGGG